This is a long non-coding RNA of Hyaena hyaena (striped hyena), 551 nucleotides long. RefSeq lists it as uncharacterized. The transcript has 2 exons. The record is from RefSeq and is a predicted model, not a curated record. Lineage: Eukaryota; Metazoa; Chordata; Mammalia; Carnivora; Hyaenidae.
CUUCCGGGGGCAGAGGUGCUAGAAGCCGGGUGGUGCGUGGGCUAUCCCAACUUGUGCUGGGGUCGCGGUCCCCCCGACGGGUUUGGGGUCGUGCCCCGGGUGUGCGCGUGCGGGGCCGUCGGCUGGGGUAGCUCACCUGGCAGUUUGGGUGAGCGGCGCGGAGGCGGCGGCGGCGGGAGCCAGAGCGGGGAGCAGGUUUCAGCCCUUGCACGUUCCAGAAUCGAAUAUUUCCGAACGUCUGCGGACAAGUACACGUGAUUGUUGUGUCACCGAAGCUCCCACCGGACGGAGACUUAGAUCCUUGCCGAGUGUUCACCGAUGGCGCCCGAUUUAUGUUUCCCCCUCUGCUUUGCUGUGUUCCACCGGCGUAAAAGCUCUGCAGUGUCCGUUAGCCGCAUUACCUGAUACGUACCCUGGGCCACAUGUUGCAAUACAAGGGGCAUUUUGGGGCUAAGGCGGGAGCCGGUAACUUUCCAAGUGCUGAGGCAUCCUUCAUCCCUUUAAGUGCGCCCCCUUUCCCCACAAUAAAGAUGUUUCUUCCAUCUGUCCAA